GACGAACGCUGGCGGCGUGCUUAACACAUGCAAGUCGAACGGGUCUGCCCUGUUUUUUGCGGGGUGGGUCAGUGGCGAACGGGUGAGUAACACGUGAGUAACCUGCCCCUCACUUCUGGAUAACCGCUUGAAAGGGUGGCUAAUACGGGGUGUUCUGGCUGUGCCGCAUGGUGUGGCUGGGAAAGAUUCACUUUUGUGGUGUUUUGGUGGGGGAUGGGCUCGCGGCCUAUCAGCUUGUUGGUGGGGUGAUGGCCUGCCAAGGCUUUGACGGGUAGCCGGCCUGGGAGGGUGGGCGGUCACACUGGGACUGAGGUACGGCCCAGACUCCUGCGGGGGGCAGCCGUGGGGGGGAUUGCACAAUGGGCGGAAGCCUGAUGCAGCGACGUCGCGUGAGGGAUGGAGACCUUCGGGUUGUGAACCUCUUUCGCCGGUGAAGAAGGUCCUGCUCUUUGUGGUGGGGUUGACGGUAGCCGGGUUAUGAAGCGCCGGCUAACUACGUG
This 500-nucleotide ribosomal RNA is filed under the name uncultured bacterium. RNAcentral describes it as "partial 16S ribosomal RNA". It matches the Rfam family "Bacterial small subunit ribosomal RNA", at positions 28 to 507 of the family's 1533-position model. The record is from RNAcentral.